RNAcentral lists this RNase P RNA (348 nucleotides) under Lachnospiraceae bacterium 3-1. RNAcentral's name for it is "Bacterial RNase P class A". It matches the Rfam family "Bacterial RNase P class A". Rfam says of the family: Ribonuclease P (RNase P) is a ubiquitous endoribonuclease, found in archaea, bacteria and eukarya as well as chloroplasts and mitochondria. Its best characterised activity is the generation of mature 5'-ends of tRNAs by cleaving the 5'-leader elements of precursor-tRNAs. Cellular RNase Ps are ribonucleoproteins. Lineage: Bacteria; Bacillati; Bacillota; Clostridia; Lachnospirales; Lachnospiraceae. The record is from Rfam by way of RNAcentral.
CAAGUAAGGUAGAUAAUCGCGGCUGCAGGCGUCGAAAGACCGCAGACGAGGAAAGUCCGGGCUUCACAGGGCAGGAUGCCGGUUAACGGCCGGUGGAGGCGACUCCAAGGACAGUGCAACAGAAAUGUACCGCUAUUGGAACAAUAGUAAGGGUGGAAGGGCAGUGUAAGAGACUACCGCCUGGCUGGUAACAGUCGGGGCACAUGUAAACCCCAUCCGAAGCAAGACCGAACAAAAGCGUUGACGCGGCCCGCUAGCUUUAGGUAGGUUGCUGGAUCUGACUGGCAACAGUCAGACUAGAUAGAUGAUUAUCCAAGACAUAACCCGGCUUAUAGCCUUGCUUGCACA